This 1302-nucleotide ribosomal RNA is filed under the name Salmonella enterica subsp. enterica serovar Typhimurium var. 5-. RNAcentral's name for it is "partial 23S ribosomal RNA". It matches the Rfam family "Bacterial large subunit ribosomal RNA", at positions 1649 to 2925 of the family's 2925-position model. The record is from RNAcentral. Lineage: Bacteria; Pseudomonadati; Pseudomonadota; Gammaproteobacteria; Enterobacterales; Enterobacteriaceae.
CCAAACCGACACAGGUGGUCAGGUAGAGAAUACCAAGGCGCUUGAGAGAACUCGGGUGAAGGAACUAGGCAAAAUGGUGCCGUAACUUCGGGAGAAGGCACGCUGACACGUAGGUGAAGUGAUUUACUCAUGGAGCUGAAGUCAGUCGAAGAUACCAGCUGGCUGCAACUGUUUAUUAAAAACACAGCACUGUGCAAACACGAAAGUGGACGUAUACGGUGUGACGCCUGCCCGGUGCCGGAAGGUUAAUUGAUGGGGUCAGCGCAAGCGAAGCUCCUGAUCGAAGCCCCGGUAAACGGCGGCCGUAACUAUAACGGUCCUAAGGUAGCGAAAUUCCUUGUCGGGUAAGUUCCGACCUGCACGAAUGGCGUAAUGAUGGCCAGGCUGUCUCCACCCGAGACUCAGUGAAAUUGAACUCGCUGUGAAGAUGCAGUGUACCCGCGGCAAGACGGAAAGACCCCGUGAACCUUUACUAUAGCUUGACACUGAACAUUGAGCCUUGAUGUGUAGGAUAGGUGGGAGGCUUUGAAGUGUGGACGCCAGUCUGCAUGGAGCCGACCUUGAAAUACCACCCUUUAAUGUUUGAUGUUCUAACGUGGACCCGUAAUCCGGGUUGCGGACAGUGUCUGGUGGGUAGUUUGACUGGGGCGGUCUCCUCCUAAAGAGUAACGGAGGAGCACGAAGGUUGGCUAAUCCUGGUCGGACAUCAGGAGGUUAGUGCAAUGGCAUAAGCCAGCUUGACUGCGAGCGUGACGGCGCGAGCAGGUGCGAAAGCAGGUCAUAGUGAUCCGGUGGUUCUGAAUGGAAGGGCCAUCGCUCAACGGAUAAAAGGUACUCCGGGGAUAACAGGCUGAUACCGCCCAAGAGUUCAUAUCGACGGCGGUGUUUGGCACCUCGAUGUCGGCUCAUCACAUCCUGGGGCUGAAGUAGGUCCCAAGGGUAUGGCUGUUCGCCAUUUAAAGUGGUACGCGAGCUGGGUUUAGAACGUCGUGAGACAGUUCGGUCCCUAUCUGCCGUGGGCGCUGGAGAACUGAGGGGGGCUGCUCCUAGUACGAGAGGACCGGAGUGGACGCAUCACUGGUGUUCGGGUUGUCAUGCCAAUGGCACUGCCCGGUAGCUAAAUGCGGAAGAGAUAAGUGCUGAAAGCAUCUAAGCACGAAACUUGCCCCGAGAUGAGUUCUCCCUGAGACUUAGAGUCUCCUGAAGGAACGUUGAAGACGACGACGUUGAUAGGCCGGGUGUGUAAGCGCAGCGAUGCGUUGAGCUAACCGGUACUAAUGAACCGUGAGGCUUAACCUUACA